AUACGUAGGGAGCGAGCGUUGUCCGGAAUUACUGGGCGUAAAGGGCGCGUAGGCGGCGCUUCAAGUCGUCUGUCAAAUGGGAGGGCUUAACCCUUUUUCGCAGACGAAACUGGAGAGCUUGAGAAGCAGAGAGGCAAACAGAAUUCCUGGUGUAGCGGUGAAAUGCGUAGAUAUCAGGAAGAAUACCAGUGGCGAAGACGGUUUGCUGGCUGCAUACUGACGCUGAAGCGCGAAAGCCAGGGGAGCAAACGGGAUUAGAUACCCCGGUAGUCCUGGCAGUAAACGAUGUAUGCUGGGUGUGAGACUAGCGAUAGUUUCGUGCCGAAGUUAACGCGAUAAGCAUACCGCCUGGGGAGUACGGUCGCAAGAUUGAAACUCAAAGGAAUUGACGGGG
This 394-nucleotide ribosomal RNA is filed under the name uncultured bacterium. RNAcentral describes it as "partial 16S ribosomal RNA". It matches the Rfam family "Bacterial small subunit ribosomal RNA", at positions 523 to 918 of the family's 1533-position model. The record is from RNAcentral.